GAAAUACUUUUUCCGUCUGAAAAUACUUGUCAUUAAAAUGGAUAAAAAAAUAUAUCUAAAACUAAAAUACGUCUAGAUAUAUCCUAUUUUGUUUAUUUUGAUGACAAGUAUUUUCGGACGGAAGGAGUACUAU
Molecule: non-coding RNA, 133 nt
Organism: Triticum urartu
Lineage: Eukaryota; Viridiplantae; Streptophyta; Magnoliopsida; Poales; Poaceae
Source: Rfam